RNAcentral lists this long non-coding RNA (6318 nucleotides) under Homo sapiens (human). RNAcentral describes it as "HSALNT0277792". Lineage: Eukaryota; Metazoa; Chordata; Mammalia; Primates; Hominidae. The record is from RNAcentral.
CGCCGCUCGAAGUACAGCCCCAGCAUGAUGAGCGACGGCUGGAAGUUGAGGGCCAGGCCCAGGCCUGCGGGCGAGGCGGUGCUGUGCCGGGGUCCCCGGAGAGCCCCUCCCUGGCCCCCACAGGAGGGAGGGGCCAGGCCCGGGAACCCAGCAGAUCCGGGAACCCAGCCGAGGGACUUCGAAGACUGUCCCUCAUAGGGAAACCGAGGACAGAUCUUGCAGCAAGAACCCCCGACCCCCAACCCAGCGGAGAGGAGACCAGGGGGCCCUCACCUGUGAGCACCCCAGCGGUCAGGGCGCUGAAGGACGAGGGGAGGACGACGGGUCCCACCUGACUCUGCACCUCUGCAGGCUCCCUCUGAAGGACAACUGCUGGCCCCUCAGGGCCUCAGGUGGAAGGCGUCGGGAAGUGGAGCAGGUCUCGGACCCCAAGCCAGUGCUUUGGAGCUGCUCAGGCUGCCGGGGUGGUCUGGGGAGGGCAGCCACCCCCCGUCUCAGGGACCCGCUUCUUGGAUCUGCUGCUGUUGCUGCUGUCGCUGCCAUUGCCAGCUCUGAACAGCCCCUGGGCAGGUGCACUGUGGGGGUCUCACAGUGUUGCUCAAGCUGAUGUUGAACUGUUGGAAUCAAGAGAUCCUCCUGCCCCAGUCUCCCUAGUAGCUGGGACUACAAGUGUGUGCCGCCGCACCUGCCACCCUCCUCACUGUUUGGGCCCCCAUGUGAGGACUCACCUCGGGAAGAGCUCCUGUGGCUAUGUGAGUCAAGGAUGGAACGAUGGUCCCAGAACAUCCCAGGAGGGUGUGACAGCCUCCAUCUAGAAGGUUCUAUCCUCAGGUCCCCAAGGCAUCUGCAGCACACCGUCCUCUGCUGUGGGUCUGUGAAGCAGCCACUCCAGCAGCAGGACAGUGGUGCCUGUCCAUUCCCUCUGCUAGCUGCCAGCCCUGCUGUCCUCCGCACUUUCUGGCAACCUCACUGUAUGAAACUCCCCAAAUCCUCCUCCACGUCAAGUGUCAAAACAGCCCAGUUUAAGUGCUUUCAGGAUUUCCACGGAGCCUGACCGCAAAGAGCAGCACGCGGUUCUGGAGCAUCCCCCGGGCCUGGCCGGGCGGGGACACGGGGGUCAGCCAGGUCCGGGCGGCUCCCUGAAUCCUGGGGACCCAAAAUGACACCCUCGACCUGAGAGCUCAGGCCCUACCAGCUCGGGACGACCGGAUUUUCUAGCUGGAAGGAGCCAGAAGCCAGCUCACCGUCCAACCCGCACCCUCUACUUUUGGCAAAGGCACCUCCAUUUUCCACGAAGAGCUUCCUCUGACCCCCCGCUUCCCGCGUCAAUGUGUGUGCUUUGAGCGGGGCUGUCCUCACCGCCCAGCUUCAGGGGUAGGGGUGGCACCCAGGCCUGGCCACUCAAUCACCCCAUCCUCCUUCCUGCAGCGAUAGGCUCAGGAAUGGCGCUUAGAUAGAAACUACGACCAAAGAACCCAGUCCCAUUACUUACUUACCCAGUAACACUAUGGAAAAUGCAUUUUUUUUUUUUUUUUUUUUUUUUUUUUUUAGACGGAGUCUGGCUCUGUCGCCCAGGCUGGAGUGCAAUGGCGCGAUCUCGGCUCACUGCAAGCUCCGCCUCCCGGGUUCAUGCCAUUCUCCUUCCUCAGCCUCCCGAGUAGCUGGGAUUACAGGCGCCUGCCACCAUGCCCAGCUAAUUUUUGUAUUUUUAGUAGAGACGGGGUUUCACCAUGUUGGCCAGGCUGGUCUCAAACUCCUGACCUCAGGUGAUCUGCCUGCCCUCGGACUCCCAAAGUGCUGGGAUUACAGGCGUGAGCCACCGAGCCUGGCCUAAAACUUCUUUCAAUGGCACUGACCUUUCUGUGUUGUCACUCAGUCAUAAUAAAAUCCCAGGUACAAUCAGAAUGCUGCAUUCUCCAGCCAUAAAGAUCGCUCCCUCUUUUCAAACAUCCCUGUCCCUCAAGGCCUAGCUCAAGACGGUCACCUUAAGAAAAGCUCCCUUUGUCGAGCAGUGACUCCAUACCAGGCCCUGCUUUAAACGCUUUAUCUGCAUUAUCUUACUUGAUUCUCGCAAUAGCCCUGGGUGGUAGGUGCAAUUAUUAUCUCCAGUUUAUAAAAGAAGAUACUGAGGGUCAGAGAAGUUAAGUGACUGGCUCAAGGUGUCACAUUCAGUAAGCGUUGAAGGGGUCUGUGUUGGUCUGUCCUUGAAGAUGCCCCCUACGACUACACUUUCAAUGAUUUCUGCCUUGAACCUGGCCCCAUGACUAAAAACCUCACGUCAAACUCAGGCAGCAAUAACGGGAAGGCUUGGUGCCUCCCAUCACUGGAGCAACUAGUCUAGCUGGUCACUAAGUGGACAGCCCCUCUGUUUCCCUGCAGUAACUAAUUAGCAGAAUAGCACAAAGAUAAAACCCGAAGGCCUUUGUGCAGAAGUUUCAGAGACAUAAGCAAAGUGAGAGCAUUAGGUUCUGCAUAUCUUUCUUGUUGUUGUUGUUGAGACAGAGUCUCGCUCUGUUGCCCAGGCUGGAGUGCAGUGGCACGAUCUUGGCUCACUGCAACCUCCGCCUCCCGGCUUCAAGUGAUUAUUCUGCCUCAGCUUCCCAAGUAACUGGGACUACAGGCGUGCGCCACCACUCCUGGCUAAUUUUUGUAUUUUUAGUAGAGACAGGGUUUCACCAUAUAGGCCAGGCUGGUCUCAAAGUCCUCAACUCGUGAUCCACCCGCCUUAGCCUCACAAAGUGCUGGGAUUACAGGUGUGAGCCACUGCACCCAGUCACAUGUCGUAUUUUAAAAGGGAUUUAAAAGUAUCAUUGGAUUGUUUGUAACACGAAGGAUAAAUGCUUGAGGGGAUGGAUACCCAUUCUCCAGCAUGUCAUGAUUACACAUUGCAUGCCUGUAUCAAAACACCUCAUGUACCCCAUAAAUAUAUACACCUACUAUGUACCACAAAAAUUAAAAUAAAUGGUGGGUGAGAAGAAACACUGCAUACGGUUUCAAAACCAUCAGAGAGGCCAUGGGAAAAAUUUUAAAAAUAUAUUUACGAAGUGAAACAGCCAUUCUAAGUAUGACACCAAACCCAUAAACUUGAAAAGACCGAUACAUUUUACUAAAUAAAAAUAAUGUUUUUGUAUAGCAAAACCAAUCAUAACACAGGCAAAUGAUAAUGGCAAACUGGCUAUUGUAUUUGCAACUCAUCACCAAGAAAAAGCUGGUUUCAGUAACAUAUCAAGAGCUCCUACAAAUUAAUAAGUGGAUGAAAAGAUACUGGCAUGUCACAGCACAGAAAAUCCAAUGGCUUUGAAACAUGAAAAGAUGUCAAGCUCGCGUUUAAGACAAGUAUGAGGUAAAGCCACACCGAGAUACCAUUUUUACCUUUCUAAUUAGCCAAGAUCAGAAAGUUUGCUCAUACACUGUUGUCAAGGGGUGCAGAAGCACAGAAACUCAUACAUCACUGAUGGAAGUGUAAACUGGUGCAACCAAUGACUAUAUUCUUGGGCUUACCAAUUCCACUUCUAGGAAUUUAUCCUGGAGAUACAUUUGCACAGCUGCAGUAAACGAGAGAAGCUAAGGAUGAGGUGGGAAGGCACGUUACUGACUAGACUUGGACUAAGCAAAGACUAAUUAGCGAAGAUGAAUAAGAAAGACAAUUUACCGUGCCCGGGCACCUAGAGUUCUUUAAAUCUUAUUCUAAGGCUGCCUUCUUUUUUUGAGAGAGAGAGCGAGCCUUGCUCUGUUGCCCAGGCUGGAGUGCAGUGGCGCAAUCUCGGCUCACUGCAACCUCUGCCUCCCGGGUUCAAGCCAUCCUCGUGCCUCAGCCUCCCGAGUAGCUGUGAUUACAGUCAUCCGCCACCAUUCCUGACUAAUUUUUGUAUUUUUAGUAGAGACGGGGUUUCACCAUGUUGGCCAGGCUGGUCUUGAACUCCUGAUCUCAGGUGAUCCACCCACCUCGACCUCCCAAAGUGCUGGGAUUACAGACAUGAGCCACCACGCCCACCCCAAAUGUGCCUUCUACUUAUAAAUAGAACAAGAAGUAAAUAUAUAUGCUUAGCUAUCUUAGGAGUUAGAUCUUGGAUGUUUUAAAGUCCAGCUGGGUCAGACAACAUGUUACUUGCUCCCUAUGUGAUAUGGUUUGGAUAUUUGUCCUCUCUAAAUUUCAUCUUGAAAUCUGACCCCCCAGUGUUGGAGGUGGGAUCUAGUGGGAGGUGAUGGGGGCAGCUCCCUCAUAAAUGGCUUGGUGCUGUACCCCACGGUAAUGAGUGGUAUGAGUUCAUGCAAGAUCUCCUUGUUUAAAAGAUUGCAGUGGCCGGGCGCGGUGGCUCACACCUUAAUUCCAGCACUUUGGGAGGCCGAGGUGGGUGGGUGGAUCACCUGAGGUCAGGAGUUCAAGACCAGCCUGGCCAACAUGGUGAAACCCCGUCUCUACUAAAAAUACAAAAAUUAACGGGCAUGGUGGUGCAUGCCUGUAAUCCCAGCUACUCAGGAGGCUGAGGCAGGAGAAUCGCUUGAACCCAGGAGGUGGAGGUUGCAGUGAGCUGAGAUCAUGCCACUGCACUCCAGCCUGAGCAACAAGAGCAGAACUCCAUCUUAAAAUAAAAAGAAAAAAGAAAGAGUGUGGCACCCCACCGGCUCCCUCUCUGGCCAUGUGAUAUGAACUUCCCCUUUGCCUUCUGCCAUGAUUGUAAGCUUCUAGAGGCUUCGCCAGGAGCAGAUGCGGGCAAUGCACUUCUUGUACAGCCUGCAGAACUGAGAGCCAAAUAAACAUCUUUUAAAAUAAAUUACCCAGCCUCAGGUAUUCCUUUAUAGCAAUGCACAACGGACUAACACACCAUGCAUAGGGGAAAAUCUGCCUGUUCAACCCACAGCUCCCUCCUGAGGGACCCUCACCCACGAGGAGGCAGUCAAGGAGGGGGUCAGCUCUUCUCUUAAUGUUGAUGGUUAACUAUUUACAGGCAAAAAGGAGUUUAACACAGGUGAAAAAGAGUUUCCUUCCAAAGAAGAUCUAUAAAUAGCUAAGAAGCACAGGAAAACAUGUUUAACAUCACUAGCCAUCUGGGAACCGGAAAUCAAUAUUGCAAUCAGAUAUCGCUUCACACCUGCUAGGAUGGCUAUUAUCAAAAAGACAGUAACAAAUAGUAGCGAGGACGUGAAACAACUGGAACCCUCAUAAACUGCUGAUGGACACGGAAACACUCCGGAAAACGGUCUGGAAGUUCCACAAACAGUUAAACAUAGAGUUACCAUAUGGCCCCACAAUUCUACUCUUAUAUACCCAAGAGAGAUGAAAACAUAUGUCCACAUGAAGACUCGUACAUGGAUGCUCAGCGCAGCAGUGGUCAUGACAGCCAAAGAGUGGAAACAACCAGGCGUCCAUCAGCUAACAUCUGAGUAAAUACAUCGAGUAAACGAGUAAAUACAAUGUGGUGUAUCCAAGCAAUGGAAUAUUAUCCAGCAGUGAAAAGGAAGCCAGUCGCAAAAGAGCACACACAUUGUAUGAUUCUGUUUAUAUGAAAUGUCCAGAAUGGGCAAAUGUAUUGAGACAGAAAGUAGAUUCCUGGUGGCCUGGGGCUGGGGGAGUGGGAGGAUUGGGAAUGACAGCUAAGGGGUACCGGUUUGUAUUUUUUUUUUGAGACGGAAUUUCGCUCUUGUCCAGGCCGGAGUGCAGUGGUGCAAUCUUGGCUCACUGCAACCUCCACCUCCUGGGUUCAAGCAGUUCUCCUGUCUCAGCCUCCUGUGUAGCUGGGAUUACAGGCAUGUACAACCACGCUUGGCUAACUUUUGUAUUUUUAGUAGAGACGGGUUUUCACCAUGUUGGCCAGGGUGGCCUCGAACUCCUGUCCUCAGGUGAUCCACCCGCCUCGGCCUCCCACAGUGCUGGGAUUACAGGUGUGAGCCACCGCGCCUGGCCGAGGUACUGGGUUACUGUGGUGGAGGGUAUUGAAAAUAUUUUAAGCUUGAUAGUGGUGAUGGAUGCAUGACUCUGUGAAUAUACUACAAACCAGAAAGUGUACACUGUAAAUGGGUGAAUCGUAUGUGAAUUAUAUCUCAAUAAAACUGUUUUUCAAAAAAGGAAGUUGUUUCUCCCUGGCAGACCUUUUGUGGGAUAGCAGGGGACGAGAAGGCUGAGCCUGGGGCCGGGUGAGGCGGUGACAGUGGGCAGAUGAGAGCCUGAGCCGAAAUCUGGGUCUUUGGAUCCAGUCAUGUAUCCCUGGGCCCGUGGGUUCAGAUCCAGAGACUCGGGGAGGGCGUGGGAGGCGUGGGAGGCGUGGGAGGGAUAAGAACCCCAAGCCAGGACCGGGCGUGGUGGCUCAUGCCUGUAAU